CCUACGGGAGGCAGCAGUGGGGGAUAUUGCACAAUGGGGGCAACCCUGAUGCAGCGACGCCGCGUGUGGGAAGACGGUUCUCUGGAUUGUAAACCACUGUCCCCAGGGACGAAGAUGAGGGUAUCUGGGAGGAAUCUCCGGCUAACGACGGUCAACCAGCCGCGGUAAUACGUAGGGAGCGGGCGUUGUCCGGAAGUACUGGGUGUAAAGGGAGCGUAGUCGGGACUGCAGGUUGGGUGUCAGAUCUACCGGUCAAACCGUGAGCCGCACUCAAAACUGCCGGUCUUGAGUGAAGUAGAGGCAGGCGGAAUGCCUAGUGUAGCGGUGAAAUGCGUAGAUAUUAGGAGGAACACCAGUGGCGAAGGCGGCCUGCUGGGCUUUUACUGACGCUGAGGCUCGAAAGUGUGGGGAGCAAACAGGAUUAGAUACCCUGGUAGUC
RNAcentral lists this ribosomal RNA (439 nucleotides) under uncultured bacterium. RNAcentral's name for it is "partial 16S ribosomal RNA". It matches the Rfam family "Bacterial small subunit ribosomal RNA", at positions 338 to 795 of the family's 1533-position model. The record is from RNAcentral.